CUACAAAAUUACAAAGCAAAUAUUGCAGCAUAUUGACAUAGGAGAGGGCCGCGAGGCGCCUCGACAGUGGCCUAGUUAAGCUGAAGCACACAUUCAAGUCGUGAGCACAUUUUCCACUCUCCGUUCGAACGCUCUCUGAGAGUCCAACUAGACUGUCAACAUUACCAACAGUUGCUGCUCUCUCGUCGCAGUCGACGCGUGUUUUGGAAGCAACAAUUCAAUUUCAAAUGCUUCGCCGACAGUUUUGGUUGGUACUACGACGCGAUUCCAAUUGGACUCGAACAGUUGAACGCGACAGAAGUCAAAUUAAUUCCAAGUGGAUUUAAUAAAA
This is a long non-coding RNA of Drosophila hydei, 331 nucleotides long. RefSeq lists it as uncharacterized. The record is from RefSeq and is a predicted model, not a curated record. NCBI's taxonomy places the organism in Eukaryota, Metazoa, Arthropoda, Insecta, Diptera, Drosophilidae. The transcript is spliced from 2 exons.